GAUGAACGCUAGCUACAGGCUUAACACAUGCAAGUCGAGGGGCAGCAUGGUCGUUGCUUGCAAUGACCGAUGGCGACCGGCGCACGGGUGAGUAACGCGUAUCCAACCUUCCCCCUACCCGGGUAUAGCCCGCCGAAAGGCGGAUUAAUCCCCGAUACGUCCUCCGACGGCAUCAGAUGAGGACGAAAGGUUUUCCGGUAAGGGAUGGGGAUGCGUCCGAUUAGCUUGUUGGCGGGGUAACGGCCCACCAAGGCGACGAUCGGUAGGGGUUCUGAGAGGAAGGUCCCCCACAUUGGAACUGAGACACGGUCCAA
This 314-nucleotide ribosomal RNA is filed under the name uncultured bacterium. RNAcentral describes it as "bacterial SSU rRNA". It matches the Rfam family "Bacterial small subunit ribosomal RNA", at positions 28 to 334 of the family's 1533-position model. The record is from RNAcentral.